GACGAACGCUGGCGGCGUGCUUAACACAUGCAAGUCGAACGAUGAAACCUAGCUUGCUAGGUCGAUUAGUGGCGAACGGGUGAGUAACACGUGACUAACCUGCCCCUUUCUCUGGGAUAACGCUCCGAAAGGAGUGCUAAUACCGGAUACUCACAUCGAGGCACAUGCCUUGAUGGGGGAAGUUUUUCGGAAAGGGAUGGAGUCGCGGCCUAUCAGCUUGUUGGUGAGGUAACGGCUCACCAAGGCGACGACGGGUAGCCGGCCUGAGAGGGCGACCGGCCACACUGGGACUGAGACACGGCCCAGACUCCUACGGGAGGCAGCAGUGGGGAAUAUUGCACAAUGGGCGCAAGCCUGAUGCAGCGACGCCGCGUGAGGGAUGAAGGUCUUCGGAUUGUAAACCUCUUUCAGUAGGGACGAAGCGAAAGUGACGGUACCUAAAGAAGAAGCACCGGCUAACUACGUGCCAGCCGCCGCGGUAA
RNAcentral lists this ribosomal RNA (482 nucleotides) under uncultured bacterium. RNAcentral's name for it is "partial 16S ribosomal RNA". It matches the Rfam family "Bacterial small subunit ribosomal RNA", at positions 28 to 523 of the family's 1533-position model. The record is from RNAcentral.